GAUGAACGCUGGCGGCGUGCUUAACACAUGCAAGUCGAGCGAAGCACUUAAGAUUGAUUCUUCGGAUGACGUCUUUUGUGACUUAGUGGCGGACGGGUGAGUAACGCGUGGGUAACCUGCCUCACACAGGGGGAUAACAGUUAGAAAUGACUGCUAAUACCGCAUAACCCGAUAGGAUCGCAUGAUCCAGACGGAAAAGAUUUAUCGGUGUGAGAUGGACCCGCGUCUGAUUAGCUAGUUGGUGAGGUAACGGCCCACCAAGGCGACGAUCAGUAGCCGGCCUGAGAGGGUGAACGGCCACAUUGGGACUGAGACACGGCCCAAACUCCUACGGGAGGCAGCAGUGGGGAAUAUUGCACAAUGGGGGAAACCCUGAUGCAGCGACGCCGCGUGAGUGAAGAAGUAUUUCGGUAUGUAAAGCUCUAUCAGCAGGGAAGAAAAUGACGGUACCUGACUAAGAAGCCCCGGCUAACUACGUG
This 479-nucleotide ribosomal RNA is filed under the name uncultured bacterium. Its description in RNAcentral is "partial 16S ribosomal RNA". It matches the Rfam family "Bacterial small subunit ribosomal RNA", at positions 28 to 507 of the family's 1533-position model. The record is from RNAcentral.